This 468-nucleotide ribosomal RNA is filed under the name uncultured bacterium. Its description in RNAcentral is "partial 16S ribosomal RNA". It matches the Rfam family "Bacterial small subunit ribosomal RNA", at positions 28 to 507 of the family's 1533-position model. The record is from RNAcentral.
GACGAACGCUGGCGGCGUGCUUAACACAUGCAAGUCGAACGGCAAGGCCCUGCUUUUGUGGUGUGCUCGAGUGGCGAACGGGUGAGUAACACGUGAGUAACCUGCCCUUGACUUUGGGAUAACUUCAGGAAACUGGGGCUAAUACCGGAUAGGAGCUCCUGCUGCAUGGUGGGGGUUGGAAAGUUUCGGCGGUUGGGGAUGGACUCGCGGCUUAUCAGCUUGUUGGUGGGGUAGUGGCUUACCAAGGCUUUGACGGGUCGCCGGCCUGAGAGGGUGACCGGCCACAUUGGGACUGAGAGACGGCCCAGACUCCUAUGGGAGGCAGCAGUGGGGAAUAUUGCACAAUGGGCGGAAGCCUGAUGCAGCAACGCCGCGUGCGGGAUGACGGCCUUCGGGUUGUAAACCGCUUUCGCCUGUGACGAAGCGUGAGUGACGGUAAUGGGUAAAGAAGCACCGGCUAACUACGUG